GACGAACGCUGGCGGCGUGCUUAACACAUGCAAGUCGAACGGAAAGGCCUUUUCGGCGGUACUCGAGUGGCGAACGGGUGAGUAACACGUGGGUGAUCUGCCCUGCACUCUGGGAUAAGCCUGGGAAACUGGGUCUAAUACCGGAUAGGACCGCACUUUAGUGUGUGUGGUGGAAAGUUUUUUCGGUGUAGGAUGAGCCCGCGGCCUAUCAGCUUGUUGGUGGGGUAAUGGCCUACCAAGGCGGCGACGGGUAGCCGGACUGAGAGGUUGGUCGGCCACAUUGGGACUGAGAUACGGCCCAGACUCCUACGGGAGGCAGCAGUGGGGAAUAUUGCACAAUGGGCGCAAGUCUGAUGCAGCGACGCCGCGUGGGGGAUGACGGCCUUCGGGUUGUAAACUCCUUUCGCCAGGGACGAAGCGUUUUGUGACGGUACCUGGAGAAGAAGCACCGGCUAACUACGUG
RNAcentral lists this ribosomal RNA (463 nucleotides) under uncultured bacterium. Its description in RNAcentral is "partial 16S ribosomal RNA". It matches the Rfam family "Bacterial small subunit ribosomal RNA", at positions 28 to 507 of the family's 1533-position model. The record is from RNAcentral.